This 247-nucleotide ribosomal RNA is filed under the name Minutocellus polymorphus. Its description in RNAcentral is "partial Bacterial small subunit ribosomal RNA". It matches the Rfam family "Bacterial small subunit ribosomal RNA", at positions 548 to 794 of the family's 1533-position model. The record is from RNAcentral. Lineage: Eukaryota; Bacillariophyta; Thalassiosirophyceae; Cymatosirales; Cymatosiraceae.
GAAUUACUGGGCGUAAAGCGCACGUAGGCGGAUCAGAAAGUAUAGGGUGAAAUCCCAGGGCUCAACCCUGGAACUGCCUUAUAAACUCCUGGUCUUGAGUUCGAGAGAGGUAAGUGGAAUUCCGAGUGUAGAGGUGAAAUUCGUAGAUAUUCGGAGGAACACCAGUGGCGAAGGCGGCUUACUGGCUCGAUACUGACGCUGAGGUGCGAAAGUGUGGGGAGCAAACAGGAUUAGAUACCCUGGUAGU